UGUAUCGAUUGUUGAGAUCUGGCGACUUGUUUAAAUUUCAUCAGCCUCACUUCUAUGAACUCUCAGAGCUGAUUACCAACUCCUACCACUGUUAACCCUCAUCCAGGAAAAAGCUUAUGUCUUUAACAUUCUGAGUGGGCUUCAGCAUCCUUGCAUAUGUUCAAUUCUUAAAAACCUGUUGAAAUAAAAGAUCAGGAGACAUAGGAAGGAUGCCAGAAGAGAGCGUGGCCUCAUGUGUACCAGCUCUCUGCUCUCCUUUGCCUUGGGACGUUCCAUCCCUGGAAGUUUCCCUGCCCACAUCUUUGUAGAGAGUCCAUUCUCCAAGCUUCAGUGUGUCAUCUGUGAGGACUGUGACCAACCUGGUACAUCGCCUCAGGGCAUUCAUUUCAGGCUCCUUCUAAAUGGUCAAGUCUUCUGUCAGCCUAACAAGCAUAGCAAGAAGAUAUAGCCCCACAACCACUUUAUGCACAAAGUUAGAAGCAUAAAAUCUCAUGGAAAGAGACCGAUUAUCCACAGAAGAGGUUGUCUUGCCAUUUCUCUCAUGUUAGAGGUAAACCUCAGGUUCUCCUCCUGCCUUUUGCUAAGUAUAUGUCUUGAUGACAAGCCUUCUGCUGAUGAGCUGUGUUUCUGGACCGAUCAUGGUAGAAGUCAAUUAACGUGUCCCUCACUUGGGGUUUCUCAAGGUCAUCUAUGAACUGACUCUGUCUCAAAAAAAAAAAAGAAAAAAAAGAAAAGAAAGAACGAAAAAAAAAAACUAGGACAUGGCUAACAGGAAUGGGGACAAAGAAUCUGCACUGAUGAGGAAACUGAAACAGAAAAUCCAGAGUAAAUUCCACCAGGCCACACAGCAAGGUCUGAUAGAGCCAGGAGAGACUUUAUGAAAUCCAGACUCUCACACUAAUGCUCUAUCAGCUAGACCUCCAUGUGAGUCUCCCCAAUGUAGGUAGGAAGUGCUUUCCC
RNAcentral lists this long non-coding RNA (960 nucleotides) under Pan troglodytes (chimpanzee). Its description in RNAcentral is "lincRNA". Lineage: Eukaryota; Metazoa; Chordata; Mammalia; Primates; Hominidae. The record is from RNAcentral.